Long non-coding RNA from Perca fluviatilis (European perch), 326 nucleotides. RefSeq lists it as uncharacterized. Lineage: Eukaryota; Metazoa; Chordata; Actinopteri; Perciformes; Percidae. The transcript is spliced from 3 exons. The record is from RefSeq and is a predicted model, not a curated record.
CAGGAGAAGGACCCCUCUCGACCAAUCAGGACUCAGCAAAGAGACACAUUAUUUUGAUGAGGUCGACCUGGAGGGCAAAUAUGUCCCGCUUUUGCAACAUGUCCAAAAAGGAUCAACAACUGAAAGACUGGGAAUUACACAUAAAUGUCAACAACAGAAAACCCAUUUUGUUUAAAUUUCCGAACUCAUUCAAACUCAAGGAUGGAAAGACUGUCACUAUCUGGGCUACAGGUUGUGGUGUCAAUGAUAAUCCCCCACUGACCUGGUGUGGGAGGACCACACAUCCUGGGGCAGUGGAGACCAACUGCUGGUCUCCCUCUACAACU